Molecule: ribosomal RNA, 2871 nt
Filed under: Triticum aestivum (bread wheat)
Lineage: Eukaryota; Viridiplantae; Streptophyta; Magnoliopsida; Poales; Poaceae
Description: partial small subunit ribosomal RNA
Source: RNAcentral
AUGGCUUCCAAAGGUGCAGGAGGCGGCGGCGGCGGCCAUGACGAGCCUCCUCAGCGGCCGAAGCAGCAGCUGCCGCGCGACUCCCGCGGCUCGCUCGAGGUCUUCAACCCAUCCUCCUCCGCCGAGCCCCCCGCCGCGUUCCGCCCCGCCGCCUCGCCGUUCCGCCAGGACGACGACGACAACAUUGAGGAUGUCGACAGGGCGACGCAGCGGGCGGCGGAGUGGGGCCUCGUGCUCCAGACCAACGAGCACACGGGACGGCCCCAGGGCGUCUCCGCCCGCAGCUCCGGGGGUGGCUCCGCCCGCAGCAGCUCCGACGACAAGGCCGUCACCGGCGCCGGCAUCCCCCGGGUGUCGGAGGAGCUCCGGGCGGCGCUCUCGGCGUUCCAGCAGACGUUCGUCGUGUCGGACGCCAGCCGCCCCGGCCACCCCAUCAUGUACGCCAGCGCCGGCUUCUUCAACAUGACCGGCUACACUUCCAAGGAGGUCGUCGGAAGGAACUGCCGCUUCCUCCAGGGCUCCGGCACCGACCCGGCGGAGAUCGCAAAGAUCAGGCAGGCCCUAGCCGACGGAUCAAACUACUGCGGUCGUGUCCUCAACUACAAGAAGGAUGGCACGGCAUUCUGGAACCUCCUGACCAUUGCCCCCAUCAAGGAUGAGGAUGGCAGGGUCCUCAAGUUCAUAGGGAUGCAAGUGGAAGUGAGUAAAUACACCGAAGGGAACAAGGACACUGUUGUUCGUCCAAAUGGACUGCCAGAGUCACUCAUCAAAUAUGAUGCAAGGCAGAAGGACCAGGCCCGUAGCUCAGUGUCUGAGCUUCUGUUGGCUCUCAAGAACCCACGGUCAUUGUCAGAAUCAAGUAAUAGCACCUUCAAAAGAAAGUCACAGGAAUCAGUAGGCGUGUUAACGGGUGAUGGUACUGGCAAGAGGAGCUCAGAGAGUGGAUCUCGACGUACCUCACGCACUGGAGCAAGAAGCUCACUGCAGAAGAUCAGCGAAGUACCUGAAGGAGGCAAUAAAACUAGAAAAUCGGGUCUGUUUUCACUUAUGGGUUUACUUGGUAUGGGCCAUGCAAAUGUAGAAAAGAACAUGCUGAAACCAAGAGAUGAAGAUCCACUACUUGACAGUGAUGAUGAAAGACCUGAGAGCUUUGAUGAUGAGCUAAGGAGGAAGGAAAUGAGAAGGGGUAUAGACUUGGCUACUACACUUGAACGUAUCGAGAAGAACUUUGUCAUUACUGACCCAAGAUUGCCAGAUAAUCCUAUUGUAAGAUUCAUCCGGGACCUCCUGUACCUCUUACCCCACUCAUCUUUUCAUUCAUAUAGAUAUUAUUUUUUUCUUGAAUGGCCGUUAUUUUUUCAAUCGGUGUUUCAGAUAUUUGCAUCCGAUAGUUUCUUGCAAUUGACUGAAUACAGCCGUGAAGAAAUAUUGGGAAGAAACUGCAGGUUUCUCCAAGGUCCUGAAACUGAUUGUGCUACAGUGAGGAAAAUUAGAGAUGCCAUAGAUAACCAAACAGAGGUCACUGUUCAGCUGAUUAAUUAUACAAAGAGUGGUAAAAAGUUCUGGAACCUCUUUCACUUGCAGCCUAUGCGUGAUCAGAAGGGAGAUGUCCAGUAUUUUAUUGGGGUUCAGUUGGAUGGAACUGAGCAUGUCCGAGAUGCUGCCGAAAAAGAGGGUGUCAUGCUGAUUAAGAAAACUGCAGAAAAUAUUGACGAGGCUGCAAAAGAACUUCCAGAUGCUAAUUUGACGCCGGAGGACUUAUGGGCCAACCACUCAAAAGUAGUUUUGCCAAAGCCACAUAUGAAGGAUUCUGCGUCAUGGAGAGCCAUCCAAAAAGUUCGUGAGGGUGGAGAAAACAUUGAUCUGAAACAUUUCAGGCCUGUAAAACCUUUGGGGUCUGGUGACACCGGAAGUGUGCACUUGGUGGAGUUGCUAAACACAGGUGAAUACUUUGCCAUGAAAGCGAUGGAUAAAAAUGUCAUGCUUAAUCGCAAUAAGGUCCAUAGAGCUACUGCUGAACGACAAAUCCUUGAUAUGUUGGACCACCCAUUCCUUCCAACAUUGUAUGCAUCAUUUCAGACAAAGACACAUAUAUGUCUCAUUACAGAUUACUACCCUGGCGGGGAGCUCUUUCUGCUUCUAGAUAGGCAACCUCAGAAGGUUUUGCGGGAAGAUGCAGUCAGGUUCUAUGCAGCUGAAGUUGUCAUUGCACUUGAAUACUUGCAUUGUCAAGGUAUAAUCUACCGAGACUUGAAGCCAGAGAAUAUCUUACUUCAUAGAGACGGGCACAUAUCCCUGACAGACUUUGAUUUAUCUUGCCUGACAUCUUGCAGACCGCAGGUCUUUCUUCCAGAAGAAGGUAAUAAGAAAAGUAGGAGGAAAAGCAGGAGUUCACCCAUAUUUUUUGCAGAACCUAUGCGAGCAUCCAAUUCAUUUGUUGGUACAGAGGAGUACAUCGCACCUGAGAUUAUUACUGGAGCUGGCCAUACAAGUGCUGUUGAUUGGUGGGCGCUAGGGAUUCUUCUGUAUGAAAUGCUGUAUGGUUACACACCCUUCAGAGGUAAAACCAGGCAAAGGACCUUUGCCAACAUCCUACACAAGGACAUCAGAUUUCCCGCGAGCAUAUCGGUGAGCCUCCCGGCGAGGCAGCUGAUCUACAGGUUGCUGCACCGGGAUCCUGCGAACAGAAUGGGAUCAUACGAGGGGUCAAACGAGAUAAAACAACACCCGUUCUUCCGCGGCAUCAACUGGGCCCUUGUGCACGGCACGGCUCCUCCAAAGAUGGACGCUCCACUGUUGUCAGACGACGUGGACAAGGGAAUGGGCGAUGCUGCUGCUGCCGCUGCUGAUAAUCACACCGACAUGUUCUGA